RNAcentral lists this ribosomal RNA (749 nucleotides) under uncultured fungus. RNAcentral describes it as "SSU rRNA". It matches the Rfam family "Eukaryotic small subunit ribosomal RNA", at positions 564 to 1314 of the family's 1831-position model. Lineage: Eukaryota; Fungi. The record is from RNAcentral.
GUGCCAGAGCCGCGGUAAUUCCAGCUCCAAUAGCGUAUAUUAAAGUUGAUGCAGUUAAAAAGCUCGUAGUUGAACCUUGGGCCUGGCUGGCCGGUCCGCCUCACCGCGUGUACUGGUCCGGCCGGGCCUUUCCUUCUGGGGAACCUCAUGCCCUUCACUGGGCGUGUUGGGGAACCAGGACUUUUACUUUGAAAAAAUUAGAGUGUUCAAAGCAGGCCUUUGCUCGAAUACAUUAGCAUGGAAUAAUAGAAUAGGACGUGUGGUUCUAUUUUGUUGGCUUCUAGGACCGCCGUAAUGAUUAAUAGGGAUAGUCGGGGGCAUCAGUAUUCAAUCGUCAGAGGUGAAAUUCUUGGAUUGAUUGAAGACUAACUACUGCGAAAGCAUUUGCCAAGGAUGUUUUCAUUAAUCAGUGAACGAAAGUUAGGGGAUCGAAGACGAUCAGAUACCGUCGUAGUCUUAACCAUAAACUAUGCCGACUAGGGAUCGGACGGUGUUAGUAUUUUUGACCCGUUCGGCACCUUACGAGAAAUCAAAGUUUUUGGGGUUCUGGGGGGAGUAUGGUCGCAAGGCUGAAACUUAAAGAAAUUGACGGAAGGGCACCACCAGGCGUGGAGCCUGCGGCUUAAUUUUGACUCAACACGGGGAAACUCACCAGGUCCAGACACAAUAAGGAUUGACAGAUUGAGAGCUCUUUCUUGAUUUUUGUUGGUGUUGGUGCAUGGCCCGUUCUUAACUGUCGGAGAGGAUGU